UGCAUGUGUCAGCAGAGUCCAUGUGAAAAAAGCAGAACGCCGCCCGUCGAUGAAGAAGUCGCAGAAGCUGCAACUCUGCUUGUUUUUCUUUCUCUCACCUGAACUGAAAGUUGACCCGGUCGUCUGCCUGUUGAAAUGCCAAGAAGAGACAGAAAAUUGAAGACACUACAAAGGAAUCUGAAAAAAUGCAGCUAGAGGCAGCAAAGGAGGAGAUGAGAGAUAAAGUUCCUGUCAAUGCUCUACCGUCCACUCACCACAGGUCUUCAUUGUCGAGCGGAUUUAAAUGGCGUAUCAGCGUCGACUUGGAGGUGUUUGAGGUCGAUGCUGAUCAGGCUGGAGGGAAGACACCAGUUGUGUCUGACAACAGCAGAAUCCAUUGAGCAGAAGAUGAUUUAUCAGCCUGAAUGUUAAUCGUGUUACAGCAGAGUGGAGCCAGAGGUGAGGCAGAGCAGAGACUCCUCCCAAAUAUUUGAUUUAAUGCAGGCUUUUAUCCAGACACCUUACAGUCCCAUGAGUGUGUAUAUAUCAACCAUGGUGGCCCCAGUGGGACAGCAGCCCCCUGAUCCUGACAGUUUACAUUACUAUUCCUUUUUAGCCCAGUUACUCAGGAGAGUCGGGUUUGAGUCAACCAGCAGCUCCAAAGUCUGGAGUCUGAAGUACCUUAAAAUGCCUGACUCCCAUACAAGAAGCCUCAACUUCUGUCUAGAAAUACUGAGUCAAUCAUUGUUUUCAAUGAGUCAUUAUUGUCUCACUCUGUAAAUUCAAGCCCUCUUAUAAGUGUGAAGGGUGGUCAUUUUGGAAAUUAUUGCUCCAUUAAUAAGAUUUGAAGAUUUAUAGUAGCUUUGAUGUCUGCCUUGUGGGUGUUGAUUGACAGUUGGCUCACCAGUUGGACUGUUGUCUCAAUAUUUCACUAACGUUAAUGUUACUUGAUUACGAUGCCAUAUUAAUAUCUCCUGAUUGAUGCUCCUUUCCUCAAACUUCCAUAAACACUUUUCACAUCACUCCCAUAAUAAUUAUAUAAUUAUAUAAAUUAUAUAAUUAUAAUGAUCAUAAUUCCUUUUUUCCAGUAUCCAUCUUUAUAGUCAUUGUGCUUUAACAGCAAUGUUUUUGCCAGAUUAAAACAAAAUAAAGAGUUUCUGCUUCAGUCUUUGCAAAGUGUUUGUCAAGGUAUA
Long non-coding RNA from Thunnus maccoyii (southern bluefin tuna), 1172 nucleotides. RefSeq lists it as uncharacterized. The transcript is spliced from 4 exons. Lineage: Eukaryota; Metazoa; Chordata; Actinopteri; Scombriformes; Scombridae. The record is from RefSeq and is a predicted model, not a curated record.